UACGUAGGGUGCGAGCGUUGUCCGGAAUUAUUGGGCGUAAAGAGCUUGUAGGCGGUUUGUCGCGUCUGCCGUGAAAAUCCGGGGCUCAACCCCGGACUUGCGGUGGGUACGGGCAGACUAGAGUGUGGUAGGGGAGACUGGAAUUCCUGGUGUAGCGGUGAAAUGCGCAGAUAUCGGAAGGAACACCAGUGGCGAAAGCGGCUUCCUGGUCCAGCACCGACGUUCAGGCACGAAAGCGUGGGGAGCAAACAGG
Molecule: ribosomal RNA, 253 nt
Filed under: uncultured bacterium
Lineage: Bacteria
Description: partial 16S ribosomal RNA
Rfam family: Bacterial small subunit ribosomal RNA
Source: RNAcentral